This 441-nucleotide ribosomal RNA is filed under the name uncultured bacterium. RNAcentral describes it as "partial 16S ribosomal RNA". It matches the Rfam family "Bacterial small subunit ribosomal RNA", at positions 338 to 795 of the family's 1533-position model. The record is from RNAcentral.
CCUACGGGUGGCAGCAGUGGGGAAUAUUGCACAAUGGGGGGAACCCUGAUGCAGCGACGCCGCGUGUGUGAAGGAGUGCUUCGGCAUGUAAAGCCCUAUCGGCAGGGAAGAAGCAAGACGGUACCUGACUCAGAAGCCCCGGCUAACUACGUGCCAGCAGCCGCGGUAAUACGUCGGGGGCGAGCGUUAUCCGUAUUCACUGGGUGUAAAGGGAGCGUAGACGGCCAUGCAAGCCCGGGGUGAGAGCCCGGGGCACAACCCCGGGACUGCCCUUGGAACUGCAUGGCUGGCGUGCGGGAGGGGAAGGCGGAAUUCCUGGUGUAGCGGUGAAAUGCGUAGAGAUAAGGAGGAACACCGGUGGCGAAGGCGGCCUGCUGGACCGCGACUGACGUUGAGGUUCGAAAGCGUGGGGAGCGAACAGGAUUAGAUACCCGGGUAGUC